GACGAACGCUGGCGGCGUGCUUAACACAUGCAAGUCGAACGGAAAGGCCCUGCUUUUGUGGGGUGCUCGAGUGGCGAACGGGUGAGUAACACGUGAGUAACCUGCCCUUGACUUUGGGAUAACUUCAGGAAACUGGGGCUAAUACCGGAUAGGAGCUCCUGCUGCAUGGUGGGGGUUGGAAAGUUUCGGCGGUUGGGGAUGGACUCGCGGCUUAUCAGCUUGUUGGUGGGGUAGUGGCUUACCAAGGCUUUGACGGGUAGCCGGCCUGAGAGGGUGACCGGCGACAUUGGGACUAAGAUACGGCCCAGACUCCUACGGGAGGCAGCAGUGGGGAAUAUUGCACAAUGGGCGGAAGCCUGAUGCAGCAACGCCGCGUGCGGGAUGACGGCCUUCGGGUUGUAAACCGCUUUCGCCUGUGACGAAGCGUGAGUGACGGUAAUGGGUAAAGAAGCACCGGCUAACUACGUG
This 468-nucleotide ribosomal RNA is filed under the name uncultured bacterium. Its description in RNAcentral is "partial 16S ribosomal RNA". It matches the Rfam family "Bacterial small subunit ribosomal RNA", at positions 28 to 507 of the family's 1533-position model. The record is from RNAcentral.